CCUACGGGAGGCUGCAGUGGGGAAUAUUGCACAAUGGGGGAAACCCUGAUGCAGCGACGCCGCGUGAGUGAAGAAGUAUUUCGGUAUGUAAAGCUCUAUCAGCAGGGAAGAAGCAAGACGGUACCUGACUAAGAAGCCCCGGCUAACUACGUGCCAGCAGCCGCAGUAAUACGUAGGGGGCAAGCGUUAUCCGGAUUUACUGGGUGUAGAGGGAGCGUAGACGGUAUGGCAAGUCUGAAGUGAAAGCCCAGGGCUUAACCCUGGGACUGCUUUGGAAACUGUUAGACUAGAGUGCUGGAGAGGUAAGUGGAAUUCCUGGUGUAGCGGUGAAAUGCGUAGAUAUUAGGAGGAACACCAGUGGCGAAGGCGGCUUACUGGACAGUAACUGACGUUGAGGCUCGAAAGCGUGGGGAGCAAACAGGAUUAGAUACCCCUGUAGUC
RNAcentral lists this ribosomal RNA (441 nucleotides) under uncultured bacterium. RNAcentral describes it as "partial 16S ribosomal RNA". It matches the Rfam family "Bacterial small subunit ribosomal RNA", at positions 338 to 795 of the family's 1533-position model. The record is from RNAcentral.